Long non-coding RNA from Mytilus californianus (California mussel), 1017 nucleotides. RefSeq lists it as uncharacterized. NCBI's taxonomy places the organism in Eukaryota, Metazoa, Mollusca, Bivalvia, Mytilida, Mytilidae. The transcript is spliced from 3 exons. The record is from RefSeq and is a predicted model, not a curated record.
UUCUGUGAUAUGUUUUCAUGGUGUGGGAAUGAGACUUGGUGGUCUAAUACAGCUAAUACGAAGGUUAGCAUCACAGCUUGUCUGUAAAGAUUGAAGCUGGGAGUGGGCAUUGGAGCUGACUUUUAUGGUAACUGUGGCUGCAUAAAAGGGCUAUGUGAUUUUACUGUAACAGUAAAGAAUGUAAUUCAGACUAUUUUUGUGUAUGUUUGAGAAAAUGUUUAUUAUAAUUUUUACAAAAAGAAAAAAAAAAUUAUGUACAGGUUCUCCAUUUUCAACAAGAUUGGAAGUUGUAGGUUAAUAGGUCUUUGAAAUUUCAAAAAUUACUUUCUAUUUUCUGUUCAUACUCAUGUCUAGGCAAAACACUUCCAGUAGUUUAAGAAUGGAGAAUCUAAAAAAAAAGAAAAGAAAAAAAUGUUCAAUUAUUGAAAUGUUUUUUUAUUUUUGCAAAUUGUAAUAUAUUUUUUCACCUUUGUGUAAUUUUUAGCUGAGUUUAUAACAAAGGGUAUAUUAUUUUAAGAAUAUUUUACAAGAAGCAUAGUUGAAGAAUAUCUUGAUGAAAGUAGAUUGAUUGAUUUUUGGUAUUUAACACCACUUUCAGCAUGAUUUGCUAUAUCUUGGCUGCUAGUUUUUAUUUGUGGAGACAGCCUGGUGAAAACAUCCCCUUCAACAGAGAAACUGGCAACUCUAGUCAAUUAAGAUUGACGUUAAACACACCUACAAUGUGAGGGUUCAGAGUGUUGACAGGCUAGUGAUACAGUAGUUGAACUACUUUGACCAUUCAGCCACCAUUACUCCAUCCACACUAAAUAUGUUAUUGAAAUGUGUUGAAUUUUUGUAAUUUAAUAAUUUUUUUAUUUUGAUUACCGGUAUACUAUUUAUGUUUUUUUGUUAUAUAUAACAAAGAUGUGGAGUUCUAACGGUGAAAUUUAGGUCAAAGGGAGGUAAUUUAUUAUACUGUGUUUAACUUCAAAUACUUGAAAUUCCCUCAAUGUUAGAUUUUUAUUUACUUGGAUACUC